GGGGGAAAAAUUUUUGGCAGAUGAAUUCAGAGGAAACAAAGAAAACACACGAAAGCAAACAUGAAACAAGGGCGACACAUAAAUUAUGGAAGCAGGCGUAAAGCCUCUAAACGUGACGAAAUUCAAUCCUCAAGGAGUAGAAACAAAUAAAAUUCAACAGAGUUGCUGUUACACACAAAAUUCAGCAUAAUUUGGCAAAUUUUCCGAACAUAACACAACUUAAAUCGACCAAGUCAGCUGCAAGCUCCCCAAACCAUAGACCAAAUCAUUUCACAUUGAGCUACCAACAUCGCAGGCCCCUGUUAACUUUAGAGAUAUUAACGAUUCAGUUGACGAAUCGGACAACUCAACAAGAAAUACAAGCAAAAGAUACUAAAUCCACCGGUGCGAAAUACGGAGACGGGAUAGAUGCCAAUUCCAAAACCACAUGAAAGCGAUUGAACUCUCCUAGCAAGCCUAGCUACACAUAUUAGUCUAGCUCUGAACUCUCCCCUCAACUCUCGUAAACAUGUCGCAACCUUUCUUGUUCUUGGGUUGUGACGAUGCCCGGUGUGCUACAAUUAAUCGAAUCGAGCUUAUUCAUACUCAUACACAAAAAAGAAGACGCGAGCAGAAAAUUGAUCUGAAAAAAGAAAAAUGCAAACAUGAAUGGUUCUAGCCACAUGCUAAAUCUUAAUCGUAAUAAAUCAUUCAACAUGUAAUAAGCUUUAAAAAAAAGAGUUGAAGGCUAACCUCCAAGCAGUUAAGCGAUAUUCUGGCCUUAGGUAUCCGGCGAGCAAAACGAAGCUUUGUUUGUCAACAAGUGGAAGAACAUAACGUUCAUCAUGAAAAAAGGAAAAUGAAGAUAAGUAUGAUACAAAGCUCAAAAAUAAAAAAUUUAUCAAAAGAUUACAGACGAGCUUCUCUGCCCAUUUCUACAUAUGGAUGCAUCUGUUUAGAUAUAAAAAUUUAUUGCGUUUCAAAAGAUUACAGCCGAGCUUCUGCCCAUUUCGAAAAGAUUACAGCCGAGCACAAAAAUAAAAAAUUUAUUGCGGUUUAAAUAUAGAUGGAUGAACAAAAACACAAACACAAAACAAAUAUCCACUGUACAAAAAUAUACCUAUACAUGAAUCAUCUAACAUCCCUUCACCCAUAGAACUAAUAGACACAAAUAUGUAUAAGCAAACAACCUUAAGAUUAGCCUGACAACAAGAUUCGAAACAAAAUCUCCAAUUAUAAAUCGCGAAAGCAACUCAAAGAAAAAGCCAAGUCCAAGAAAAUUAAACACGAACAAACUACCGAGCCUAUGGAUAAACUCGUGAAAGGAACCUACAAAUUUUGGAACCAAAACAAAGUUUCAGUAUCAUAAAGUAUUCAAGAAAAGAGCUUUCAAAGCAGAAAUGGCCAUGUUAUACCAAUAAAGCGUAACAUAUGAUUGCAGCUAGCCAGAAGAGGGCUAAAUAAUAACAAUAGUUUAUGUUCACCUUCUGAUGCUCAAUCGAGGGACGUACAUCAAGCAAGGUUUAAACAACAAUCACUUGAUUAAAAUUGAUUCCAUAGUUCGAUUUCAGCUGUAAUAAGGUAUUAAAAACAGAGUUGAACACAAACCUCUGAGCAAUCAAGCGACCGUCUGCCCUUACGGAUCCAGCUAUGCAAACGAAAUCUGGUCGGCAGCAAAUGGAUGAACCCAGACCUUGUUCAUCAACAAUAGGCAAAAGGAAUAUAAAUAGAUAUGAUCAAAAGCUCAAACAUAAAGGAUUUGACAAAAGAAGCUGAACAUAUCAAGCGAAUCAGAGUAAUUUUUUACCCAAAUUAGUUGCUAAUUUGAUAAAACUAGUGCACCUCCCGCGCUAUGCGCGGUGAAUGUGAACUUAGACUCGCAUAAAAUAUACAUAUAUAUGUUUUAUAAUAUUAAUAUAAACUAAUAAAAUUAAAAUUUGAUACAAAAAUUAUUUUUUGCAAAGUGAUAUAAUAUUUUAAUAUAAGC
RNAcentral lists this long non-coding RNA (1966 nucleotides) under Salvia miltiorrhiza (redroot sage). Its description in RNAcentral is "long non-coding RNA (SMIL_LNC005322)". The record is from RNAcentral. Lineage: Eukaryota; Viridiplantae; Streptophyta; Magnoliopsida; Lamiales; Lamiaceae.